UUCGAUAUGGAUGAAGUACCUAGCCUUGUUUCAUUGUUUCACUUUGUGAUGAAUUUAGCUAAUGGAUAAUUGUAAGUCAUUAAGCAUAUAUUUUGUAUUGAUUUAAAUGAUCAUAAUAUAUAUGCAAUUGUGUUUAAUGAAUUGAUGUGUAAAUGAAAAUGUAUGUGUAUGGAAUGAUGCCAUUGUUGAAUGUAUAAAGGCAGCAAAAUGCAUAAGGUAUUGGUCACGGCACUAAGUGUGCGGGUAUAAAUGGAGACGGUGACAAGAUUGGCACUAAGUGUGCGGGUAUAAAAUUGUACAGCACUAAGUGUGCGAGUUUGAUUCUAUAGCACUUAGUGUGCGAGCUGAAAAUAUAUAGCACUAAGUGUGCGGAUUCACUAUAUGCUCUUGUAUUACAAUUGGCACUGAGUGUGCGACAUUAUCGAGUUAAUCCCGGACAGCGAAUCGGGUAAGUACCUUGAGCUCAUGACGAAUAGACAAUAUGUUCAUGCUCGGGGUUGAGCUUGGUAAGCUUUAAAUCUAUGUGAUGAUUGCAAUUGUGUGAUUGUGGUGAAAAUGAGUUAGUGUGUGAAAAUGCCUCAAAUAUCUUAUCGUAUAAAUAUGAAAUGUGGAUGUAUGGCUUGGUAUGAGAUUGAACCGAAAGGUCCGAGGAAUUAUGGUAUAGUUCCGAUAUGGAUGAAGUACCUAGCCUUGUUUCAUUGUUUCACUUUGUGAUGAAUUUAGCUAAUGGAUAAUUGUAAAGUGCUUAUGACUUACUGAGUUAUAAACUCACUCGGUGUUUUCUUGUCACCCAUUUUAGGUCUCGUGGACUCGUAUUGUUGCGUGCUCGGAACCGUCGUUGAAGUCAUCACACCGGCUGAAAUAUUUUGGUAUUGUCUUCGUUGUUGAAGAACAAUUGGCAUGUAUAGGCUAUUAUAUUUUGUUGAACUGUGGGUUGUAAACUUUAAGCCAUGUGAAAAUGGCCUAUGUGGUCGUCGAGUGGGAUGCUAGAACCUAUAGCCACGAGUCUUAGAAACUUUAAUUUUGAUAAGGUGGCCAUAAUUUGUGUCAUGUUUGAUGGAUGAUUAAGGCCAAGGAAAGAUUCAUGAAA
Molecule: long non-coding RNA, 1090 nt
Organism: Gossypium arboreum
Lineage: Eukaryota; Viridiplantae; Streptophyta; Magnoliopsida; Malvales; Malvaceae
Exons: 2
Source: RefSeq, a predicted model, not a curated record